UGAUGAUAUACACAAAGACACACUCUCAAUGCGUUGAGGGGUGGGGGUUGUGGAAGAAGGUGAGCCUUCCUUCUCCCGAUAGCUCACAGUUCUUCUCAGUUUGAGUACUGAAAGGGACGGCAACAGCUCAACUGCCAUUACUUGGCAUUCUCCCUCUGCCUGGUGUCUGUUGCAUACAGAGAGGCAGCAAUCAACUACAGAACAGUAGCAAUGUGCAUGGAGAUUGGCUGCUUAGUGCUCUGUGUGAGUGGAUGGAUCCUGGUCUGCUCUACAAUGCCACUGAGAUCUGGACCUGCUCUGAGGUAGGCAGCAUCAUUCUGACCACUUCAAACUACUUCUCCAAUCUCUGGAAGGAUUGCACUUCUGAUUCAACAGGAGUGUUCAACUGCAAGGGUAUCCCAUCAAUGUUCGCAUUGAGCUGGGGCUUCCAUGUGCUCCGGGCUCUGAUCAUCACCUCUAUUAUCUUGGGAUUCUGAGAUAGGAGGAUCUUCUGCACUAAGAUAGGAGGAUCUGAGGUUACAAACGCAAGUGGGACUUUUGAUGGAUGGAUUAACUAUCUUGUGUCUGAUCAAAGAACAAACACAUGCCUGUCUACAAGUUUCCUUGAUAGCUACAUGGCACCUCCAUCUAAACAGAGGUACCUACCAGUGUCAAGAGAACUCACAGAGGGUGGAGAGAGCAUAAGACCAAGACCAGCAGUUAGACUAGGAGCAGCAGCAAGACACCCUCCAGUUUGAACAUGUAUGUGUUGUGACCUGCUCUUGUGGCCUGCAGUUCGACAUUUGUAAAAAAAAAAACAUACACAAAAAACAACAACAUGAAGCUCUUUCUAUGAGACUGACCAGGUGAAAGCUAAGAUCCCUUAUUGAUGUCACUUGUUAAAUCCACUUCAAUCAGUGUAGAUGAAGGGGAGGAGACAGGUUAAAAAUGGAUUUUUAAGCCUUGAGACAAUUGAGAUGGAUUGUGUAUGUGUGCCGUUCAAAGGGUGAAUGGACAAGACCAAAGUGCUUUUGAACUGGCUGUGGUAGUAGGUACCAGGCACACCGGGUUGUGUGUGUCAAGAACUGCAACGCUGCUGGGUUUUUCCACACUCAACAAUUUCCUGUGUGUAUCAAGAACGAUCCACCCCCCAUAGGAUACCCAGCCAACUUGACACAACUGUGGGAAGCAUUGGAGUCAACAUGGGCCAGCAUCCCCGUGGAACGCUUUUGACAGCUUGUAGAGUCCAUGCCCCGACUAAUUGAGGCUGUUCUGAGGGCAGAAGGGCGUGCAACUCAAUAUUAAGGUGUUCCAAAUGUUUUGUACACUCAUAAGAUAUUUGUAUUACAUUCAUUUUGCUGUGAAGCCUUAAACUCUAAAUUACACUGUUAAGGUAUUAAUCAACGGUCAACUGUUUUUCCAUUGUACGCUUUGUAUUGCAUCCCAUGUCCUGAAAUAUAUUUUAUAUGUGAAUAAAAGAUCCCAAACAUU
Long non-coding RNA from Oncorhynchus masou masou (cherry salmon), 1470 nucleotides. RefSeq lists it as uncharacterized. The transcript is spliced from 3 exons. NCBI's taxonomy places the organism in Eukaryota, Metazoa, Chordata, Actinopteri, Salmoniformes, Salmonidae. The record is from RefSeq and is a predicted model, not a curated record.